RNAcentral lists this non-coding RNA (101 nucleotides) under Oceanobacillus massiliensis. RNAcentral describes it as "SAM riboswitch (S box leader)". It matches the Rfam family "SAM riboswitch aptamer (S box leader)". Rfam says of the family: The SAM riboswitch is found upstream of a number of genes which code for proteins involved in methionine or cysteine biosynthesis in Gram-positive bacteria. The SAM riboswitch acts at the level of transcription termination control. Lineage: Bacteria; Bacillati; Bacillota; Bacilli; Caryophanales; Bacillaceae. The record is from RNAcentral.
UCUUAUCAAGAGAGGCGGAGGGAAGGGCCCUGUGAAACCUCGGCAACAGAUUAUAAAGUAUACUGUGCCAACUCCUGCAGACAAUUGUCUGGAAGAUAAGA